This 28-nucleotide small RNA is filed under the name Bombyx mori (domestic silkworm). RNAcentral describes it as "ovarian small RNA-32248". Lineage: Eukaryota; Metazoa; Arthropoda; Insecta; Lepidoptera; Bombycidae. The record is from RNAcentral.
UGAGUACAUUAGCUGGUGGACCUCGGGA